This 21-nucleotide non-coding RNA is filed under the name Caenorhabditis elegans. Lineage: Eukaryota; Metazoa; Nematoda; Chromadorea; Rhabditida; Rhabditidae. The record is from RNAcentral.
UAUUAGGAGGAGUUCAAUUAC